UUUUUAAAAGGAAAAAUAAUCAGUGGAACAAACUGAUGCCUGCAAUAACUCCACAGAUCAAUGCGGAUCAUUAAGUUCUGUACUUAAGUCUUUUUUUUUUUUAAAUUAGAAAUGUCACUCACAAAAUGUCCACCACUGACCAGCAUUCUCCAAGGGUGCUGUUCCUGAAGUUGCUCAUUUUGUUACCAACUUACCCCAGUUCAGCUAAGACAGAGAGCAAAUGUUACUUUCCCGGAUAGCGUUGCACAGUAUGCUUCAGCCUAAAAAGCUAUCUAACUUCCUUGUUGCUGAGUGAGAAUAAACAAAUGUCUCCAAUGUUACAGUCUGAAGACUGCCACGGGUAAUGAAGAAACCUGGGUUCUCAAUAUCAAGUUUGACUUCAGAAAGGGAUUUGUUGAGGCUUGUGUAACCCACAGGACCCCAUUCUUGAUCCUUUCACUCCCUUCAACAUCCUUUCUUUAGGUGAUCUCAGUUGCUCACAUAGCUUCACCUAAAUCUUCAUUAUACAGUUACACUGACUCACAAAUCUACCUUUCCACUCUUGACCUGUAUCCUUCAGCCUGUCUCCAAUUAUUUAAACUCAGUUUGGCCAAAACUGAACUCCUGCCCCCUGCCUCCUGCCCAGUACUCCUCAUUUUGUCAUAUAUUGACCACAUGACCGCCAUCCAUGUGACUCAACUGACGAACUUGGAGGUCAUCUUUAACUCCUCCCCUUCCUACGCCUCACACAUCCAAGGCAUGGCCAAAUCUUAAUUCAUUCUCCAAAACAUUUUUAAGUUCUAGAGUUUUCAGUAUAAAAUUUUCAAGAGCAGCUAAGUGAUAUAGUGAAAGUCAGUAAGGCUUACACACUUUCAAAAUGUUAACUUCUGUCUUCAUAUGUACAAUUUUUCUCCAGGCAUUCACCACAUCCUAUUUUGAUUACUGUAACCUGUUCCUCUUGAGCCUCUGAUACUCAUUGUCCCCCACCAGUCCAUAGGAAAUUCAGCUGCUAUGGUCUUCUUCCUGGCCUCUAUGUUUUCCCUCAUUCAAUUACCUCUACUGGCUACUUUCCAACUAUUCCAAAUUCAAGCUCCUGGUUCUCAUUUUCAAGCUCCUUCAUAUCUCUGGCUUGUCCUAUUCAGUGGCUCGCUCAGUGGUUUGAGCAUUGGCCUGCUAAACCCAGGGUUGUGAGUUCAAUCCUUGAGGGGGCCAUUUAGGGAUCU
Molecule: long non-coding RNA, 1202 nt
Organism: Gopherus evgoodei (Goodes thornscrub tortoise)
Lineage: Eukaryota; Metazoa; Chordata; Testudines; Testudinidae
Exons: 3
Source: RefSeq, a predicted model, not a curated record